GACUCAACAGAGCUAUGGCGGGUUUGACUGUGAGAGACCCAGCGGUGGAUCGUUCUCUACGUUCUGUGUUCGUGGGGAACAUUCCUUAUGAAGCUACUGAAGAGCAGUUGAAGGACAUCUUUUCUGAGGUUGGACCUGUUGUUAGUUUCAGAUUGGUAUACGAUAGAGAGACAGGAAAGCCAAAGGGUUAUGGCUUCUGUGAAUACCAAGACCAAGAGCCCAGUCUUUGGGUGGAAUGCAUGUCAAUGGCGCACCUCCUCUGAUGCAAGCUUCUAUGCAGGGUGGAGUUCCAGCACCAGGGCAAAUGCCAGCUGCUGUCACAGGACCUGGCCCUGGUUCCUUAGCUCCUGGAGGAGGAAUGCAGGCUCAGGUUGGAAUGCCAGGAAGUGGACCAGUGUCCAUGGAACGGGGGCAAGGAACCCUACAGCACUCGCCCGUGGGACCCGCCGGGCCUGCAUCAAUUGAGCGAGUUCAAGGGCAGAGAACAUGGAUGAUAUGGGCAUCUGUCCGAGGCUGUACUCCCUCCCUACUGGUGUCAGGAGGCUUGGAUGGAAUAGCAGUCUUGCCGAUGCAAGACCCCAGAGCAGCUAUGCAGCGGGGAUCCUUGCCUGCGAAUGUCCCAACCCCUCGAGGCUUGUUAGGAGAUGCUCCGAAUGAUCCACGGGGAGGCACUUUACUUUCUGUAACUGGAGAGGUAGAGCCUAGAGGUUACUUGGGACCACCUCAUCAGGGUCCACCCAUGCACCAUGUCCCUGGCCAUGAGAGCCGAGGACCACCCCCACAUGAACUGAGGGGAGGGCCAUUACCCGAGCCCAGACCUCUAAUGGCAGAACCAAGAGGACCCAUGCUAGAUCAGAGGGGUCCACCCUUGGAUGGCAGAGGUGGAAGGGAUCCCCGAGGAAUAGAUGCACGAGGGAUGGAGGCCCGAGCCAUGGAGGCAAGAGGGUUAGAUGCCAGAGGAUUAGAGGCCCUGCCUGGCCCCAGAGGACCUAUACCUAGUGGAAUGCAGGGUCCCAGUCCAAUUAACAUGGGGGCGGUUGUCCCCCAGGGAUCCAGACAGGUCCCAGUCAUGCAGGGAACAGGAAUGCAAGGAGCAAGUAUACAGGGUGGAAGCCAGCCUGGCGGCUUUAGUCCCGGGCAGAACCAAGUCACUCCACAGGAUCAUGAGAAGGUAAGCAACACUGUCUGACUGCCUCCUUAUGCACAAUUCUAGCCUUUUUGAUUCCUCUUUUCACAGUUACCAUGUGACGAUCCUGGGUCUUCAAAGUCCCUUUGGAGGUGAUGUUUAUUCUAACUUAGAACUCUUUUAUGAUCUUGUUACCUGAAAAUUUGUGAGUCUGGUCCUGAAGUUCCUAAUGGAUGUGAAGUUCUUAAGUGGAUGUAAAUGGCAGCUUAUUUUAUAUUUCACACUCAUCUGCCAAUAGCAGGUUUUUCUUGUUCAGGCCAGAUUGACCUGAAAAUCCACACCCUUUUUCCUUCCCUUUCUACUUUAUCCCUAAAAACAAUAGUAGAUUCCCCAUGAUUAUAUCUUUCUGUUUUUAUAUUUGACCAUUGUGGGGAGCUUAUGUCUGAUGGAAAGGCUAAAAUUUGUGAAAAAGAGAGACUUUCAAAACAGGAUUAAAACUUGAAGGAUUUCCAGGGCUCACAGAUACCAUCUUAGUCUCCAGGAACUUUGAGUUCAUGAAGUUGUCUGUUUUGAAUCGUCUAAUCUUAGGUAUUUUAAUUUAUACUUGUUCUUUUCAUUGUACCUUUUCUCACCAGUUUUUUUUUAUUUUUUAUUUUUUUUGGAGGGGGGCUGUUGGUUUUUUUCUGUGUGAAAUGUUCUUCCUUUUUCCAUUUUGCUUCAUAUCCCACUACAGUAGCUUUUUGGACAGAAGCUGGUGGUGGGUUUUUUGUUUUGUUUUGUAUUUUUUAGCUGCCAUCAUUAAAACUCACUACCUUUUUUUUUUCCUCUGCACAGGCUGCUUUGAUUAUGCAGGUUCUACAACUGACUGCAGACCAGAUUGCCAUGUUGCCUCCUGAGCAAAGGCAGAGUAUCCUGAUUUUAAAGGAACAAAUACAGAAAUCCACUGGAGCACCUUGAUAGGUUUUCAAAAAUACCUGGCAAGAAAUCUGGAAAUUCUAUAAUUUUGUUGAAAUAUUGAAAAAAGAUGACCUGCAUCCUAACCCUUGAAUGACUCAAAUCAGUGCCAGGUGGAGGACUCCCAUCACCUUCUCUCAGAACAAAAUCACUUCAUUUUAUUGUCUUAGUUUGUAUAUUUUCUGUGACUUGAAAUAAACUUUGAACACAAUUUUAGUACACUGC
Molecule: long non-coding RNA, 2305 nt
Filed under: Homo sapiens (human)
Lineage: Eukaryota; Metazoa; Chordata; Mammalia; Primates; Hominidae
Description: long non-coding RNA NONHSAT137899.2
Source: RNAcentral